This is a long non-coding RNA of Homo sapiens (human), 1702 nucleotides long. RefSeq lists it as uncharacterized. The transcript has 3 exons. Lineage: Eukaryota; Metazoa; Chordata; Mammalia; Primates; Hominidae. The record is from RefSeq and is a predicted model, not a curated record.
CCCCACUACCCUUUCCAGCCUCUGGUAACCAUCCUCUCUAUCUCCAUGAGUUCCAAUAAACAGGUUAUAAAAUUGAUUAAAAUUGCAGUACAUCAACUCUACACAUAUACCUGCUCUGUUACUGGAGACUAAUGUAAUCCAAAUAUGUGGAAAAGUCAAAUAGUUCUCAGCAAAAUUAAUUUAGAUGGAUGGAUCAGAUAACAACUUGGAACUGAACCUAAAAGGAUCAUUCCUACUAAAAGGCAAUCAACUGAUCAAGAUGGCACAGUUCUAAGGGCCAGCCUAUACUUUUUUUUGCCUCAUCCAUUAUUCCAAGUCACUAACAUGAUGCUUGAUAAUGAAUCUAAGAGGAAUAAAAGAAAAGUACAACUGGCUUUACAAGCUUUUGGGGAUUUGACAAGGUUAUUUGAGGAGUUUGGUUCAAAAGAAGUUGGAGUGUUGUCAGUAUCUAUGCAAAACAGAUUCUAAGUAAAAUAAAGAAUAAGUUUAACACAAAACACAAAGACUGAGACUAGAUAAGGUAAAGGUGCAAAGAAACUGCGAAUAAUGAUAACUGUAAAAUGAAGGUUUGGUGAAAAUGAAAAAGUAGCCAAGGUAGAAAAAAGAGACAGAAGAAGAUAGGAAAGAGGAAGUUCAGAGUAAGAAAUCUAGUAUAUAAAAUAGUUCAGUAAUGAUUGGAUUAAGGCAUGGUCUUGAAUGGGGAAGUAGAGAUGGACAAUUGUGUUCAGGCAGACAUGUCAAGUGCAGGAGCAAAGUAUUAUCUUGGAUCUUAUCUAAGUUUACUCUGUCUAGUGAAAUGGGAUUAUACAGAAUGAUCUGAAACACAAAAAUUAAAAAUGCUAUAAGUGAAUAUUAUCAUUUUCAGAUAAAAGAUUCCAAUUGUAGAGGAAAAGGAAUAAAAUGAAAUAGCAAAUGAUGAAGCUAGAGAGAGAGGUGAGCAGGAAUAUUUAACAGGAAUUUAAAGAAAAUUAACUUUAAAAGAACACUUAAUGAGAAAAAAAGAAAAAGAAAAGGAAACCAUGCAAUAAAAGGUCAAGUUACUUACUUAACAAAGAAAAGCGUAUGCAAAGGUAAGCUCCAAGCAAUUUAGUACAACAGUGAAAUUCCAGAAGAAAAAAGCAGGCAACAUUAUCAGAAAACCAAAAGAAGAAGCUGCAUUCCUUUGCUUUUCAUCUUACCACGUUUUGUCCAUUUUCCUUACAUUUAUCUGGCUCCCUCCCCUCAGUAUCCUCUGUAAAUCUUUACCUCUUCUACCCAAAUUGAAAUGCUACCAGUUCCUCCACCUUUGAUUCUGGGUCUUUUUUACUGUUUUCUCAUCUAUUCCCAAGGCUGAAAAACUCUGAGAUUUUAUUGCAAGCCCAAAACUCUCUUCUGAACUGCAGGCUUCUAUAGCCUAUAUUAUAGGCUUUAAUAUAAAAGUCACCUGAAACUCAACCAAACUUCAACUUAUAAUUUACUGUUAAAGUCUGUCCCCUUUAAUACUGUUUCAGUAAAUGAUAUCACUAUCCAGUCAACUGCUCUAGCUAGCAACUAAACAGUAAUCUCCCCUUCUCAAAUCCAAAUAAACAGAGUCCUGUUAUUUUUACUUCUCAAACAUUUCUAGAAUCUAUAUAGUUUGCUCCAUCUGCCACAAUCUGGGCCCAGCCAGCAUCAUCUCAUUAGAUAACUACAACAAUCUUUUAACUGAUCUUCUCACAUUAAU